CAGGAGCCGAUGAAGGACGUGAUAAGCUGCGAUAAGCUUCGGGUAGGCGCACAUAGCCAGUGAUCCGGAGAUUUCCGAAUGUGGAAACACACAUGGGAAACCCCAUGUACCGUAUAGUGAAUACAUAGCUAUACGGAGGUANUAAGUCCCGCAACGAGCGCAACCCUUAUUGUUAGUUGCUACCAUUUAGUUGAGCACUCUAGCGAGACUGCCCGGGUUAACCGGGAGGAAGGUGGGGAUGACGUCAAAUCAUCAUGCCCCUUAUGUCUAGGGCUACACACGUGCUACAAUGGCAAGUACAAAGAGAAGCAAGACCGUGAGGUGGAGCAAAACUCAAAAACUUGUCUCAGUUCGGAUUGUAGGCUGAAACUCGCCUACAUGAAGCUGGAGUUGCUAGUAAUCGCGAAUCAGCAUGUCGCGGUGAAUACGUUCC
RNAcentral lists this non-coding RNA (433 nucleotides) under Clostridium disporicum. Its description in RNAcentral is "Bacterial small subunit ribosomal RNA". It matches the Rfam family "Bacterial small subunit ribosomal RNA", at positions 1035 to 1374 of the family's 1533-position model. Lineage: Bacteria; Bacillati; Bacillota; Clostridia; Eubacteriales; Clostridiaceae. The record is from Rfam by way of RNAcentral.